Long non-coding RNA from Sebastes umbrosus (honeycomb rockfish), 154 nucleotides. RefSeq lists it as uncharacterized. The record is from RefSeq and is a predicted model, not a curated record. The transcript is spliced from 3 exons. NCBI's taxonomy places the organism in Eukaryota, Metazoa, Chordata, Actinopteri, Perciformes, Sebastidae.
AAUCAGCAAUAAGUUAAACAAAGACUUUCAUAGCGAAAAACAUAGACGAGGAAAGAACUCAAAAAGUUACCGUCUAGUCACAGGACAUGCACAAACUGUACUGUAUAUGUGUUGAGGAGCGAUGGAUGGAUGAAGGGAUGGAUGGUUGAGGUCA